Molecule: transfer RNA, 74 nt
Organism: Ipomoea nil (Japanese morning glory)
Lineage: Eukaryota; Viridiplantae; Streptophyta; Magnoliopsida; Solanales; Convolvulaceae
Rfam family: tRNA
About the family: Transfer RNA (tRNA) molecules are approximately 80 nucleotides in length.
Source: Rfam
GCUGGAAUAGCUCAGUUGGCUAAAGUGUGUGGCUGUUAACCACAAGGUCGGAGGUUCAAGCCCUCCAUCUAGCG